Pollicipes pollicipes is the source of this 1274-nucleotide long non-coding RNA. RefSeq lists it as uncharacterized. Lineage: Eukaryota; Metazoa; Arthropoda; Thecostraca; Pollicipedomorpha; Pollicipedidae. The record is from RefSeq and is a predicted model, not a curated record. The transcript has 9 exons.
CCAAGCCUGAUGACUUCUUCAUUCACACCUUUAUCCACGUGAGGUAAGAUCGCGGAUCUCACUGUUUUUGCCAACGGGUUCCAACCUGAUACGUGUACUCAUGAUGAACACACCCAGCUCGCUUCCAGCUUCGGCGAUGCAGAAAGUUUCCCUGUUAGCCUGAAAUAAGCGUGCCACCACCGUUGGAAGACUGCUUACAAUCGGCUCACACCGUGUGGCAUUUGCAGACUUUCUGGGGCUAUGAGCUGCUGAAGUCUUUCUGGACCAGGAAAUACUCUGAAGCCCGUGCUCCAGAGCGCCUGUUCGUUAUCGGUUCUCCGCCCAGUAUCUUUGUGGGAGUAUCUGGCGCGUGCUGUGCACCACUGCCAGUCCCGGACAGCAGUCGGGCCGCAGGCGGUCGGCCCAGGUGUCAUUGGUUUGACCAACGGGUCAGAAAAAAAUCGUCUGAUCCAACUGAAAAGGCCCGAGAUCGGCUACAUCUACUGAACGAUGAUCAACUCGUCUCCACAGGCCACCGCGCCGCGGCCGGACGCCGUCUGCGCUCCCUCCGCACGGGAUGGCCCUGCUCUCACAUCGCCGGUGCUCGCUGGGCGUCCUGCCGUCAGGUCUGGACCUUGACCUGCCACGUUUCCAGUGACCCGGGGUCACUUGGUAGCACUCCCGGCCCGCUGGAAGCUGGGAGCCUGGAUGCACGAGCUAGGGUGACUUAGAACGUGACUCCAAGGCGCACAGACCAGACGGUGCAGGCGGCAAGAUCCUGCUGCUGAUCCGACACGUCCUGAGCCCUUGGUGACGCCGGACGCGACCCUGGCGCCUGCCUCCCGCCUAGGAAGGGACGACUCAGGUGCUGAGGACUCUUCUGGACUGAGGACUGAGGGACGACUGCUGCUGAGCAAUGAGGCGGCCACAUCUGGCGAGGAACACGACCGAGCGUGACUGGAUGCCGCGGGACAGGGGACAGCACUGCUGCGGGAUGGUAAGAUUGUGUGGCUCUUGGAAAUAAUAAAAGGCAAGUUGCCCUAAACAUUUAAAAGCUACUUAAGAUUAUUAACACCUUAAGAUAACUGGUAACAGGCCUUUCACCAUUAACUGCUAUCGUUCGAAGUGUUAUUUCCGGGCAGCUUUUAGCGUGUGAUUGGUGCGGAGCCGGCCCAGGGCCUGUGUCCGUAUGUUUGUUCUCAGGUUAUGAAAAAUACACAUGUGAGCUGAGACGUUGUUUACGGCCAUAUACAGCAUUCUGUGGAUGCUGCGGACGGCUGAGCACACGCGCCGCC